GGAGGUGCAACUCAGUGGGAGAGUGGAUGCUUGGCAUGCAUGAGGCCCUGGGGUCAAUCCCCAGCAUCACCU
RNAcentral lists this transfer RNA (72 nucleotides) under Ictidomys tridecemlineatus (thirteen-lined ground squirrel). RNAcentral's name for it is "Spermophilus tridecemlineatus (thirteen-lined ground squirrel) tRNA". It matches the Rfam family "tRNA". From Rfam's summary of the family: Transfer RNA (tRNA) molecules are approximately 80 nucleotides in length. The record is from Rfam by way of RNAcentral. Lineage: Eukaryota; Metazoa; Chordata; Mammalia; Rodentia; Sciuridae.